RNAcentral lists this ribosomal RNA (460 nucleotides) under uncultured bacterium. Its description in RNAcentral is "partial 16S ribosomal RNA". It matches the Rfam family "Bacterial small subunit ribosomal RNA", at positions 338 to 795 of the family's 1533-position model. The record is from RNAcentral.
CCUACGGGAGGCAGCAGUGAGGAAUAUUGGUCAAUGGGCGUAAGCCUGAACCAGCCAAGUCGCGUGAGGGAUGACGGUUCUAUGGAUUGUAAACCUCUUUUAUAAGGGAAUAAAGUGUGGGACGUGUCCUAUUUUGUAUGUACCUUAUGAAUAAGCAUCGGCUAACUCCGUGCCAGCAGCCGCGGUAAUACGGAGGAUCCGAGCGUUAUCCGGAUUUAUUGGGUUUAACGGGUGCGUAGGCGGCCGUUUAAGUCAGCGGUGAAAGUUUGGGGCUCAACCAUAGAAUUGCCGUUGAAACUGGGUGGCUAGAGUAGGUGUGAGGCAUGCGGAAUGCGUGGUGUAGCGGUGAAAUGCAUAGAUAUCACGCAGAACUCCGAUUGCGAAGGCAGCCUGCCAGGGCAUGACUGACGCUGAGGCACGAAAGCGUGGGGAUCGAACAGGAUUAGAUACCCCAGUAGUC